UUUUGCCAAUGGGGCAAGCCUGAUCCAGCCAUUCCGCGUGAGUGAAGAAGGCCUUCGGGGUUGUAAAGCUCUUUCGCCCCCCCCCCAAAACUUACUUUUUUAAUAAAGAGUGAGGUGGACGGUACCCUUGAUAAGAAGCACCGGCUAACUACGUGCCAGCAGCCCCCGGUAAUACGUAGGGUGCGAGCGUUAAUCGGAAUUACUGGGGGUAAAGCGUGCGCAGGCGGCUUUGUAAGUCAGAUGUGAAAUCCCCGAGCUCAACUUGGGAACUGCGUUUGAAACUACAAGGCUAGAAUAUGUCAGAGGGGGGUAGAAUUCCACGUGUAGCAGUGAAAUGCGUAGAGAUGGGAGGAAUACCAAGGGAAGCAGCCCCCUGGAGAAUAUUACGUCAGCAGGGUGCUGGGCGCGUUG
This 411-nucleotide ribosomal RNA is filed under the name uncultured bacterium. RNAcentral's name for it is "partial 16S ribosomal RNA". It matches the Rfam family "Bacterial small subunit ribosomal RNA", at positions 363 to 773 of the family's 1533-position model. The record is from RNAcentral.